RNAcentral lists this long non-coding RNA (1070 nucleotides) under Homo sapiens (human). Its description in RNAcentral is "HSALNT0198624". The record is from RNAcentral. Lineage: Eukaryota; Metazoa; Chordata; Mammalia; Primates; Hominidae.
CCUCUGGUCCCCUUCCACGCUGUGGAAGCUUUGUCCUGUUGCUUUUUGCAAUAGAUCUUGCUGCUGCUCACCCUUUGGGUCUGUGCCACCUUUAUGAGCUGUAACACUCACGUGAAGGUCUGCAGUUUCACUCCUGAGGCCAGCAAGACCACGAACCCACAGGGAGGGACAAACAACUCUGGUUUGCACCAGGCAGGGGGCAUAGCCAUGGCAAAGGCUAGGUGGACAGAAGUGGCAGGAGGCAGCAGGGCCCUUCGGAGGAGCGGAUGGAAGGCCUUCUCAGGUAAAGGGCAGAGCACCACACGCCUUUCUGACCACCACCCCCAGGGCCCAGCCGCUUCCAGGGACCAAGACAAGAGGCCCCUGUGGUCUUCUAGGUGAGCUGUAGUCAGCCUCUGUCGCUUCUGAAUAAUCACAGGGGAGCCUGUGUGCACUGACUAAGCCUCUGCCUGAGGGUGGAGGGGCAUGGACUUGGUGUCCAGCCAGGAUCCACUGGCCUCAGCCUCUGGAAAACGGGGUAUCAUGAGCUUUAGCACAGGUCAUAAAUAGGGUGGGGGUCCCUGGAAGAGGAUCUGAGGACCAUCCCUGGGGAUUUCGUCCAGCCACCAUCCAGCUGCCAUGACUCCCAGCAGCCACUAAUUCUCAUGGUACUGGGCUUGACCUCUGCAGUGUCCCAGAAGGGUGUCACCUCAUUUUAUCCUCCUGGGAUGAGUGGGGCUGAGGCCAGGGGACUCCUGCCAGAACUAAGGGUGACUGGGAGGGGUUGCCCAAGGCAGACAGGCCACCUCUAUUGCCAUCAGGCCCCCAGGAGGGCCCAGAUGAUGUGAGUGUUUGGGUGUGGGGGUGUCCUGGCCUGAUGCAGCUCCCCCUGCAGGGCUGUGCUCCCUAUGUGCACUGGGCUCUGACUCCCGCACUGGACCCUGCACUCCCACGGCACUCAGUGAUUCCAGGACCGUGGGACCCCAGAGGCUCCUCAGGGAGCUGAAGAACAUGAUGGCAGGAAGGGGUGAGGUGCCAGGAGCUAAAAGAACACAGCCAGUGGGCUGAGGCAUAAACCACGAGAAUGCAGG